AGGAUGAACGCUGGCGGCGUGCCUAACACAUGCAAGUCGAACGCGCUCCAUUCGGUAGCAAUACUGAUGAAGAGCGAGUGGCGAACGGGUGAGUAACACGUGAGCAACCUGCCCCUUAGCUUCGGGAUAGCUCCGGGAAACCGGAAUUAAUACCGAAUAUGACUGCGGCUGACAGUCAGCCACGGUGGAAAGUUUUUUCGGCUAGGGGAUGGACUCGCGGCCUAUCAGCUAGUUGGUGAGGUAACGGCCCACCAAGGCGACGACGGGUA
This 269-nucleotide ribosomal RNA is filed under the name uncultured bacterium. RNAcentral describes it as "partial small subunit ribosomal RNA". It matches the Rfam family "Bacterial small subunit ribosomal RNA", at positions 26 to 285 of the family's 1533-position model. The record is from RNAcentral.